GAUGAACGCUAGCGGCAGGCCUAACACAUGCAAGUCGAGGGAGAAGCCUUUCGGGGCAGAAACCGGCGCACGGGUGCGUAACGCGUAUGCAACCUACCUUUCACAGGGGGAUAGCCCGAAGAAAUUUGGAUUAAUACCCCAUAAUAUUGUUGGAUGGCAUCAUUUGGCAAUUAAAACUGCGGUGGUGAAAGAUGGGCAUGCGUCCUAUUAGCUAGUUGGAGUGGUAACGGCACCCCAAGGCUACGAUAGGUAGGGGUCCUGAGAGGGAGAUCCCCCACACUGGUACUGAGACAGGGACCAGACUCCUACGGGAGGCAGCAGUGAGGAAUAUUGGUCAAUGGUCGGAAGACUGAACCAGCCAUGCCGCGUGCAGGAAGAAUGCCUUAUGGGUUGUAAACUGCUUUUAUAUGGGAAGAAUAAGGUGUACGUGU
Molecule: ribosomal RNA, 431 nt
Filed under: Capnocytophaga gingivalis
Lineage: Bacteria; Pseudomonadati; Bacteroidota; Flavobacteriia; Flavobacteriales; Flavobacteriaceae
Description: bacterial SSU rRNA
Rfam family: Bacterial small subunit ribosomal RNA
Source: RNAcentral